GAGAGAGGGUAACGAAGAACCUUCUCACGGCGGGUGCAGGAGACAGAGGAGCAGAGAAUGAAAAACAAAAACCCACCGUUGCCCCCUCCUGCUUCCGGCCUAGCGAAGGACCGGAGUAGCGCCGGAGGCUCAUUACCAAGACUGCCCGCUUGUCCGCCUCGAACUGUGCCUGAUCGAUGUCGCUGAGGCCGUGCGGUGAGAGGGUCGAGCCGCUGGCCGGGCCUGUCGAUGCGGUGGUGAUUGGCCCACUGCCAGGACCGUUGUUGCUGGUGCUGGUGCCGGUAGUGCCGCCGCUGCUGCUUCCAUUGCUGCUGCCACUGGUGCUGUUGACUGCGCUUCCGACCACGCCGGCACUUCCGGGGCCGGUGGUGCCGAUCGUGCCCAGUCCGGAUGCCGUCACCGCCGACACCGGAACUGCCGUGACGCUGUUUUCUUGCAUUCUUGUGCCUCUCUCUUUUUCUUUUUCUUCGUUUAUCACUGCAGGUAUCGGUUGAUAUUGCUGCACGGGAGAUAGCUUGGGAUUGAUGCCGAGUUUGAUGCGGAUCACUUCAAAGUAUUCAUCUUGAAGAACGCUUUUCCAUUUCUUCCUUCAAUAGUGUUUAAUGGCGGAUCAGCAGAAGCACUCUCGAACUCAUCUAUAUUUGACUGUUUAAAUCGUCCAGCGAUUUUGUCCACAGCACUUCGUCCCUUUAGUCGUAAGAGUCCAACACAUUAUGACAUCUGUAAUGUAGAAAAAAACGAAAUAAAUAUUAGAUUAACUUCGAAUUGAUGCAAUUGCUUCAAAAGUAA
Anopheles gambiae (African malaria mosquito) is the source of this 789-nucleotide long non-coding RNA. RefSeq lists it as uncharacterized. Lineage: Eukaryota; Metazoa; Arthropoda; Insecta; Diptera; Culicidae. The record is from RefSeq and is a predicted model, not a curated record. The transcript has 3 exons.